GACGAACGCUGGCGGCGUGCUUAACACAUGCAAGUCGAACGGAAAGGCCCUGCUUUUGUGGGGUGCUCGAGUGGCGAACGGGUGAGUAACACGUGAGUAACCUGCCCUUGACUUUGGGAUAACUUCAGGAAACUGGGGCUAAUACCGGAUAGGAGCUCCUGCUGCAUGGUGGGGGUUGGAAAGUUUCGGCGGUUGGGGAUGGACGCGCGGCUUAUCAGCUUGUUGGUGGGGUAGUGGCUUACCAAGGCUUGGACGGGUAGCCGGCCUGAGAGGGUGACCGGCCACCUUGGGACUGAGAUACGGCCCAGACUCCUACGGGAGGCAGCAGUGGGGAAUAUUGCACAAUGGGCGGAAGCCUGAUGCAGCAACGCCGCGUGCGGGAUGACGGCCUUCGGGUUGUAAACCGCUUUCGCCUGUGACGCAGCGUGAGUGACGGUAAUGGGUAAAGAAGCACCGGCUAACUACGUG
This 468-nucleotide ribosomal RNA is filed under the name uncultured bacterium. Its description in RNAcentral is "partial 16S ribosomal RNA". It matches the Rfam family "Bacterial small subunit ribosomal RNA", at positions 28 to 507 of the family's 1533-position model. The record is from RNAcentral.